AUGAGUUCUAAUAUGCAGCGCCAAGCAGUUCCGCUUUCUCGGUCCGAGAAAUGCAUUGUUGGAACUGGAUUGGAACGCCAAACAACUCUAGAUUCGAGGGUUUCCAUUAUAGCCGAACACGAGGGAAAGAUCAUUUCUACUGAUAGUCAUAUACUUUUAUCAAGUAGUGGGAAGACUAUAAGUAUUCCUUUAGUUAACCACCGUUGCUCUAACAAAAAUACUUGUAUGCACCAAAAACCUCGAGUUCCACGGGGUAAAUCCAUUAAAAAGGACAAAUUUUAG
Molecule: ribosomal RNA, 282 nt
Filed under: Triticum aestivum (bread wheat)
Lineage: Eukaryota; Viridiplantae; Streptophyta; Magnoliopsida; Poales; Poaceae
Description: partial small subunit ribosomal RNA
Source: RNAcentral